CGGGUGAGUAAUACAUCGGAACGUGCCCAAUAGUGGGGGAUAGCCCGGCGAAAGCCGGAUUAAUACCGCAUACGACCUAUGGGUGAAAGCGGGGGAUCGCAAGACCUCGCGCUAUUGGAGCGGCCGAUGUCGGAUUAGCUUGUUGGUGAGGUAAAAGCUCACCAAGGCGACGAUCCGUAGCUGGUCUGAGAGGACGACCAGCCACACUGGGACUGAGACACGGCCCAG
RNAcentral lists this ribosomal RNA (228 nucleotides) under uncultured bacterium. RNAcentral describes it as "partial 16S ribosomal RNA". It matches the Rfam family "Bacterial small subunit ribosomal RNA", at positions 103 to 334 of the family's 1533-position model. The record is from RNAcentral.